CGCCUCUCCAGGCUCAGCUCCCAUCAUCUCGUAGCAGAGCCCUGUGUCCGGGCCCGGUCAGGGGGGCAGCUGUCCUGGCCAUGGGCGUCUGGACCCUGGUGGAGAGAAGCGGCUACCUCAGCAUCCUGGCCUCCAGCACCUUCGCCGCCUCCGCCUACAUCCUCAUCCGGGCGGGUACUCUCGUCAUGGUCACCAGCUUCCUGGGCUACAGCACCAUCUCCCAGGAGCAGAAGGGCUGCCUCUCCAUGGCUGCAGUGGGUGUACCUGAUCACCGCCACCUCCAGCAGCACUGUUGCAAUGGGGCAGAUCUUACAGCUUCCACACCACCUCCCUCCAGUUCUUUGCAACCGAGGCUCCAUCCUGCACUGAUGGGCUGCCUAACGCAUCAGCCUCAACAAGCAUUUCCAGCACAUUCUCAGCAUUUCCUGCUCUGCUGGACACAAGCAGGGUGA
Molecule: long non-coding RNA, 452 nt
Filed under: Rhinopithecus roxellana (golden snub-nosed monkey)
Lineage: Eukaryota; Metazoa; Chordata; Mammalia; Primates; Cercopithecidae
Description: lncRNA (ENSRROG00000046038.1)
Source: RNAcentral